AAGAUGGAGUUUCGCUCUUGUUGCCCAGGCUGGAGUGCAAUGGCGCGAUCUCGGCUCACUGCAACCUCCGCCUCCUAGGUUCAAGCGAUUCUCCUGCCUCAGCCUCCCGAAUAGCUGGGAUUACAGGCGCAUGCCACCAGCUCUGGCUAAUUUUUGUAUUUUUAGUAGAGAUGGGGUUUCAUCACAUUGGUCAGGCAGGUCUCAAACUCCUGACCUCAGGUGAUCCGCCCUCCUCGGCCUCCCAAAGUGCUGGGAUUACAGGCAUAAGCCACCACGCCCGGCCUUAAAGUUUCUUAUUUUCAACGAAAAUCAAGUCCCCUCUUUUCACUUUUUAUAAAAGGGACCAGAAGUUUUCCUCCCAUUUUUGUAUGAUGAAAGCCACCGCAGGCAAAGUCAGGAGAGCCACGUCAAGAAAAAGGAGUGGGUGUUACGAGAAGCCCGGCAUCUAAUUAGAUUUUGCUCUUGCAAUUACUUAACACAAACCAUGCCUUAUACAACCCAUGAGACUAAAACAAACUUUUUUCUCUCAGCAUUUCUCCCCUUUUAAGUCAUAUUUCCACGAAUCCUCUCAGAUCAGCCUUUCUCUUCAAGCCUAGAAAAAUUCCAGUAGCACGUCACCGCGCCCGCCCGCCCGCUUCUGCCAAACUACUGGGCUUCCUCUUCCCUAAGACAGAGAAACCCAUGCCAGAAACUCUUCUGGGUGCCCGCGGCUAAAAUAACUUGGCACGAGUGUGUUUCGCUUCCAACUUGGCGAGGGCGCUGCGGGUCUCGAGCGCUCUGGCCAAGGCCGGCCCCUCAGUCGCGCGCUUACCCUGCCGGGGCGAGGCGCGCGCGGUGGCCAGGGCGGCGCCGUCCGGCGCGCGGCUGAGGCUGUAGCUGCUGUAGCCGCUGUGCAGCGCGAACUUGCAGACGUUGCGGCCGCGCGCCGUGCAGUUGAAGAGGUAGCAGCCGAGCACGGCUGCCGGGGGCGCGGGGCGCCGGGGCAGCUCCACCACGGCCACGGAGCAGCGCGGCUCGGAGCAGCAGGCCGCCACGCAUUGCCGCCAGCCCCGCACGGCCGCCGGCGCCCGCAGGAAGCUGGCACCCGCCGCCAGGGAGUCCUUGGUGCGGAUGAUGGCGUCAGGCAUUGCGCUGUAGCCGCCGCUGCCCGGGCCCGGGCAGUCCUCCUGGGGGCCGCCGCCCGCGCGCAGCUCCAGCUCCAGCUCCUCCUGAGGCCGCUCCUGCUGCAGUUGCCGGCGGAACUCCUCCAGCAGCUGCUCCACGCCCGACAGCUGCGCGUGCAGUUCGGACAGCGGCGCCGCGGGCGGCAAGGCCGCACGGCCGCUUGGCAGCCACAGGCAGAGCAGUAGCAGCCCGCGCAGCGCCCCGUGACGCGGCGGUAGCCGGCGCUGCGAGCCCGCGCUCUCCUGGGCGACGGAGGCCAUGGCGACGAGAGCCAAGGGCAGCGAGCCGAGGCGGGGCUGAGCGCGGGAGGAAGGCGGGGACGCGGGCGAGCGCGGGCCCUGGGCCCCUCCUGCGCGGCCGCGGCUGGCUCUAGGCCCCGGCCUCACAGCGCGGCGCCCCCGAACCCGGCUGCUCCCCCGAGGUCGCGGGCGCCGGCGGGAACCGCAGUAGCGGGAGACAUAGCCGGCCCAGCCGGGCACCGCUCCUUGCCCUCGCCGGAGACUGCCCAGCGCCCUGCGCCUCUCCGCCCCGGCCUGCGGCGCGCUGGGUGGCGACGAGUCGGCCUCGGCGUUGAUC
RNAcentral lists this long non-coding RNA (1740 nucleotides) under Homo sapiens (human). RNAcentral's name for it is "long non-coding RNA NONHSAT208249.1". The record is from RNAcentral. Lineage: Eukaryota; Metazoa; Chordata; Mammalia; Primates; Hominidae.